CAUAACGUCGCAAGACCAAAGAGGGGGACCUUCGGGCCUCUUGCCAUCGGAUGUGCCCAGAUGGGAUUAGCUAGUAGGUGGGGUAACGGCUCACCUAGGCGACGAUCCCUAGCUGGUCUGAGAGGAUGACCAGCCACACUGGAACUGAGACACGGUCCAGACUCCUACGGGAGGCAGCAGUGGGGAAUAUUGCACAAUGGGCGCAAGCCUGAUGCAGCCAUGCCGCGUGUAUGAAGAAGGCCUUCGGGUUGUAAAGUACUUUCAGCGGGGAGGAAGGGAGUAAAGUUAAUACCUUUGCUCAUUGACGUUACCCGCAGAAGAAGCACCGGCUAACUCCGUGCCAGCAGCCGCGGUAAUACGGAGGGUGCAAGCGUUAAUCGGAAUUACUGGGCGUAAAGCGCACGCAGGCGGUUUGUUAAGUCAGAUGUGAAAUCCCCGGGCUCAACCUGGGAACUGCAUCUGAUUCUGGCAAGCUUGAGUCUCGUAAAGGGGGGUAGAAUUCCA
This 504-nucleotide ribosomal RNA is filed under the name Enterobacteriaceae bacterium HGH0043. RNAcentral describes it as "bacterial SSU rRNA". It matches the Rfam family "Bacterial small subunit ribosomal RNA", at positions 172 to 671 of the family's 1533-position model. The record is from RNAcentral. Lineage: Bacteria; Pseudomonadati; Pseudomonadota; Gammaproteobacteria; Enterobacterales; Enterobacteriaceae.